AAAUGUUAAAAUGCCGAAACGGCAAUACAAUAUCUGAAUAUGCCCAUUUUACAGCUCUAGACUAUGAAAUGUUAGCAUCUAAUUACUGAAUCAAGAUAAACCUGUAAACCGUCAAAAUUAUCAACAGCUUUAUGAUGAUCGCAAACUCAGACUACUGGCAGGCUGGACUACAGGAAACACAUGAACAGGCAGACAGGGGAGGGCGUGACGUUGCUCUACACCCAGAAACCGUGACUUGAAGAAUGUGGCAUUAAAAGAAACAGAAACUGAAGAAUCUGAUUAUGCAGGCAUGAACAAAUUGUCUGCCCCAACUCUGAACUAUGAAAAUGUCAAUGUCUAAGGCUUCAUAAUAUUUGAGAUUCUUACUAACAUGUUAUUUCAAGGAAGAAGAAUUUGAGCCUACCUCUUCCAUCUCAUCUACAAAGUUUGGUAAUACUGGAAAAGUCUGUAUCGAUUGAUUGCCCACAGAUUUUUGUCCUUGAACUCCAAGAGGAAAAGAAAAUAUGAAAGUUUAUAGAAAGAUAACUUGAAGUUAUGGAGAAGAAAAUACCAUGAGUUCCUCAAAGCAAAUGGAUAAUGAAAUACAAUCAGCAUGGGCAACACUAACCCGGAAAGACUCCCCCUCUGCCAUAGACUAUUCUCUCUUAGAGGCUGUCUAUAGAGACGACUGGUUUAAAGUGACUAUGUGAACGGAUACCCUGCGAGCAUAAACUUCUUCAACGAGAAGUUUCUGUUUACCUCGCAUU
This is a non-coding RNA of Styela clava, 746 nucleotides long. Lineage: Eukaryota; Metazoa; Chordata; Ascidiacea; Stolidobranchia; Styelidae. The record is from RefSeq and is a predicted model, not a curated record.